RNAcentral lists this ribosomal RNA (460 nucleotides) under uncultured bacterium. RNAcentral's name for it is "partial 16S ribosomal RNA". It matches the Rfam family "Bacterial small subunit ribosomal RNA", at positions 338 to 795 of the family's 1533-position model. The record is from RNAcentral.
CCUACGGGUGGCAGCAGUGAGGAAUAUUGGUCAAUGGCCGAAAGGCUGAACCAGCCAAGUAGCGUGAAGGAUGAAGGCCCUAUGGUUUGUAAACUUCUUUUAUAGGGGAAUAAAGGUAUCCACGUGUGGAUAUUUGCAUGUACCCUAUGAAUAAGCAUCGGCUAACUCCGUGCCAGCAGCCGCGGUAAUACGGAGGAUACGAGCGUUAUCCGGAUUUAUUGGGUUUAAAGGGUGCGUAGGUUGGUUUUUAAGUCAGCUGUGACAGUUUGCGGCUCAACCAUAAAAUUGCCGUUGAUACUGGAAGUCUUGAGUGUGUUUGAGGUAGGCGGAAUGCGUGGUGUAGCGGUGAAAUGCAUAGAUAUCACGCAGAACUCCGAUUGCGAAGGCAGCUUACUAAGCCAUAACUGACAUUGAUGCACGAAAGCGUGGGGAUCAAACAGGAUUAGAUACCCUGGUAGUC